CACACAUUGGAAAUGCUACACAUAAUUAACACACCAACCAACAAACGACUAAACUACAAGACAGACACAGAAAAUUGCGCUCACUUGUACAGACACCUCUUAAACAGCCAAACAACCUCAGUAACAAUCUCCACGUCAAAAAGCGCAGACGUGUAAAAUAAUUGCCCUGAAGACGGUUUGCCGAUGUGCAACCGAAAUAUAUCGGAAGAAAAUUAAAA
Molecule: long non-coding RNA, 218 nt
Organism: Drosophila novamexicana
Lineage: Eukaryota; Metazoa; Arthropoda; Insecta; Diptera; Drosophilidae
Exons: 2
Source: RefSeq, a predicted model, not a curated record